This 254-nucleotide ribosomal RNA is filed under the name uncultured bacterium. RNAcentral's name for it is "partial 16S ribosomal RNA". It matches the Rfam family "Bacterial small subunit ribosomal RNA", at positions 524 to 776 of the family's 1533-position model. The record is from RNAcentral.
UACGGGGGGAGCAAGCGUUGUUCGGAUUUACUGGGCGUAAAGGGCGCGUAGGCGGCCACCGCAAGUCGACUGUGAAAUCUCCGGGCUUAACCCGGAAAGGUCAGCCGAUACUGCGGGGCUAGAGUGCAGAAGGGGCAACUGGAAUUCUCGGUGUAGCGGUGAAAUGCGUAGAUAUCUGGAGGAAUACCGGUGGCGAAGGCGGCAUCCUGGAUCGGCAUUGACGCUGAUGAGCGAAAGCUAGGGGAGCAAACGGG